Molecule: RNA transcript, 3712 nt
Organism: Dendrobium catenatum
Lineage: Eukaryota; Viridiplantae; Streptophyta; Magnoliopsida; Asparagales; Orchidaceae
Exons: 3
Source: RefSeq, a predicted model, not a curated record
AUAAAGAUCACAACAGAGUGCCACAUUAUUGCGUAAAAGAAAAAGAGUUUGAUUUCCUAAGUCGGGUACUAGAGAACUUUUUCUAAAUCAUGUUGAGGACCUCGUGGAUGCUACAAAAUAUAUAAGUUCUGCCAUAAGUAUAUCAAAUAAAACUCGUACAACAAUUACUAUCCUAGAGAUUUUAGAAGAGAUAUCUAAAAUUCCUGAUAUAUUUGACGAUUUUGAGUUAUAUUGCUUUGCCUUAGAAUACUUUAAAGAUAAGGAUAACCGGGAAAUAUUCAUGGGAAUACCCAUGGAAAGAAGAUUAUGGUGGCUUCGAAGGAGUUUUGAUAAAACUUUCUUUUAACUGCCCAUUGAAGAAGAAGGAAUAAGCAAGUACCUAAUAGCUCCAUCUCUUCAAAAUUGAAAUCAACAUUUACACCAUGUUUUAUGUUCUGUUCUUGUAGUUGUUGUUUUUGUUUUUAGUUAGGUUAAUAACUUAUUUCCUUUGUGUUUAUUUAGGUUGUUGCUUAUUUCUUUAUACGGUUCUGGAUAUAAUUAUGUUUUGUUACUUUACUAAUUCUUCAUUCUACUUUCAGUAGUGGGACAAAGGCUUGUUCUUUUUGUUCUUGGGAGACACUUUCUUUCCUUGAAUGUCAAAGAAGCUACCUUUAUUAUACUCUCAACUUGAGAAUUUGAAUAUAUCUCUACAACUUCAUGUGUUUUUAUACUAUUUGGUUAAGAAGCUGGUUAAACAAUUGUGAUUUCCACAUGAAAAAACCCACCAAGAUGCAUAUUUGAGCUAGGCUUACAGCAUUGAUCUUCUUUGAAUGUUGUUCUGGUGUUAGUUGAGUUUGAUAGUUAAAUCAAUCUAUUGACUCAACGACCUUGAUCAAGUGUGAGAAAUGAGGUGUCACUAUGAAUGCUGAGAUCAGUUGCUCUACGCAGUUUGUAUGCAUGGGAUUUGUUUAUUUUCUUUUUUGUGGUUAAAUCAUUUGCUUGUUAAUGGGGUUUUAAAAUGAAAUUUUAAUCUUGUUGGUUUUAUCAAUUGCUUGAAUGAUUGUUGAUUUACAAUGAUUCACUUAAGUCUAUGGGAUGUACUAUUUUGAUAUUUUCUCCUUAAUUGCUUGAACCCUUAUAAAUUGUGAAAACUUCAACAACAACAACAACAAAAAAUUAAUCUCCUAAGAUGGAUUGGAUGAAGUCAAGCCAGCUAACAAGCUAAGCUCGCUUUGGAUUGAAUUUGAAUUGAGCAGAACUUGAAUUUCCAAGGUUUAAUUACAGGAUCUCCCCAAUGAUUGGAAGUUCAGAUAGCUCGAAAAAAUAAUUACAAGAUCUUUCUAGCCCAUAAAAAAAGUUAAUUACUUAUUUUCAUAAUCUAAUGUUGAAAAAGUUCUGGCACCACACAUUUAACAUCUUAUUUAGAACAUCCUAAUAUUGGAUUACGGGAACUUUUUGCUUGCUAGACCUUUUCGAUGUGAAGAGUUUCUAUGCUUCAUUUUCUUUAUUUACUACUCAGUAUAAAAAUUAGCAUUUAUCCUUUUCAAAAAUCUUGUUUAUUAACAUGGUAAAAUUGUUACCUAUACUUAAAAAAAAAAAAAACUAUUUUAUUUGUAUAUGAGAGAACAAAGUAGAGUUUUACUCUACCGAACAACCAUAUCCCAUCGUACUUGAUCAGCUAUGCUUUGAUGAAUGUAUCACAAAUGGUCCAUAGGAAGCACAAACUUGUAUUUUGAGGAGAAGACAGAAUUACAUAAAAGAAAGCACAAGACCUUGUGCACUGUUCUAUACUUUCACAAGAGGGAGGGAGGAAGAGAGAGAGAUGAAAAGUACCGGUCUAGUUAUUCAGUUCUAUUAAGUCUCUGCUUCUUUAAACAUUUUUCUUUUUUGCUUUUGAUUUCAAUGAGUCAAAGGGAGGACCAACAUGGAAUGUUCCAACCGGAAGAAAGGAUGGCAUUGUCUCCAGAGCUUCAGAGGCCUUAGAAAGCAUUCCAGCCCCUACUUUUAAUAUUAAGUUUUCUUCAAAAAAAUUUUUACAGAAAAGGGCUAAACAUCACCGAUCUUGUAUUAUUAUCUGGUAAGUUCAACAACACUAACUUGCUAGCAUUCUUUGAGCAAGUUCAACAUCACUGAUAUUGUAUUAUUGAGCAAGUUCAAACUUAGUAGAAGCUAGGCUUACAGCAUUAACCUUCUUUGAAUGUUGUUCUGGUGUAAGUUGAGUUUGAUAGUUAAAUCAUUCUAUUGACUCAACGACCUUUAUUCAAAUUCUUCAUUCAAUGGCCAUCAAUCAACGCCGGACAGUGCUACAUAUGAAAUCCUUUUAAGGCAAUCUUCAUGAGGCCAUUUAUAUGAAGCAGCAUAUUGGGGAUGUUGUUUAGGGGGAGAGUAAAGUAUAUUCUCUCUUCUUCUUAUCUAACCAAUCAUUGAGAAGGGAGUACUAUUAGGCUUCACUGUUAAUAUUUCUGCUUUUAUGUAAUCAGCUGAAUGAUGUCUUCUAUUUUUUAUUAGUAAUAAUCACUAAAUUAUUAUAUAUCAUUUAGUAAUUUGUAGUGUUUGUACUGUUCCAAAUCAAUAAUGGCAGAGGAUUUGUUAAAUUUUAUGGAAGACGAAGUACUUGAUGAUAUGUCAGAAGUUAAUGAGCGUAAAGGAGUGGCAGAAUUUACUCAUAUAAUACUCACAACGACAUGUGCAAUUCAUGAUUAUUAUGCAUUGUAUGUUUGCAAGAAUCCUUGCAUGACAUCAGCUCAAACGGGAGAUAAAUGGUUGUGUGAGUUGUUGCAUGGCCAUCCAAAUAGAUUUCAUAACAUGUUCAGAAUGUCACAAGUUAUUUUUAUGGACUUAGUUUCUUUGUUGGAAUCAUCAUAUGGUUUACAUGAAACUCGGAGAAUUACUACUCGAGAGGUACUUGCAAUAACUUUGUAUGUUUUGGGACAUAUUGAGCGUAUUAGAUCAACAUGUGAACGCUUUUAGCACUCUACAGAGACGAUUAGUAGGUUUUUUUAUAAUGGUUUGCAAGCAUUAGUUUGAUUAUCAAUGGAGAUUAUUGCACCUGGAGAUAAAUUUUUUCAUGAUAUUCCUGAAAAAAUAAUUAAUGACACACGGUACAUGUCAUACUUUAAAGAUUGCAUUGGUGUUAUUGAUGGCACACACGUUGAUGCACGCAUCCCUGUUGAAGAACAGGCCGCUUAUAUUGGACGCUAUCAUUCACUGACACAAAAUGUGAUUGCUGCAUGUGAUUUCAACAUGUGUUUCACAUUUGUUUCACCUGGUUGGGAGGGUUCGGCACAUGCUGUGCGUAUAUUUAAACAUGCAGUGAUGGAUCCGAAAUAUAAUUUUCCUGCACCACCUCCAGGUAUCACUAAUUUAUAGAAUGAAAUUAUUAUAUUUAUAAAUUAGGUUAUGUUGUAUACUAAUUAACAAAUUUAUGAACAUGAAAGUUUUACUUAGUUGAUGCAGGUUACCCUCUACAAAGGGGAUAUUUGAGGCCAUACUUGGGAACCAGAUAUCACAUACCAGAUUUUAGAAGAGGGCAUAUCAAUGCAGAGUAGGAGAGCAAAUUGAAGAAAGUAAUGUGUUAUAUGCUGAAGUAGAGUCUGGUGAUGAUGAUGGGGUGAAUGAAAUGAUUGAACUGAGAGAGAAAAAUGCAUUUGAACUAUGCAAUUAGAACAGGAAACAAAUUCAGUUAUCAUCCUGAGAAGGAGAUGAUGACAUGGUUGCUUAUGUUUUAGUUAGG